GUGCCUGUUGAUUAUAUAUGUAUAGCCUUUAAGCUUUAAUGAAUGAUUUACUCAUAUUUUUAUUUCAGCUGGAUAUUUUAUGAAGUAUAUAUGUAUGCAUGUAUAAAUAUAUAUAUAUAAAUUUAUUUUUUUUAUAAACGUAGAAAACCUUUAAUCAUCUGGGACAGAAAAAUCUGUCUGAAACCAUCUAUAGGUUGGCAUCUGAAUUUAGAGAAAAAUGCCACAAAUCUUUAAGCUUAUUUUUCUAACAUGAAUAUACUUCUGUAUCAAAUGGAAAAUCUUCAUAAAUUAAAGCAAACUAUCAUGGUUGUCUUCUGUGUUAGAAUUAAAAAAAAAAACAAAAAAAACCAAAAAUGUGUUGUUCUAUAUGAAAAAGUUUUGAAGUAAAAGUACCUCAAAGACUUGUGAGUCUGCAGUGCCAACAAUAUCAUGCAUAUUACAUUUCCUAAGGUUUCAUAACACUCUGAGAUUUAAGGUUGGUUGCUUGUGAGAACAGUGAAUAAAAAGUACUUGAGCAUAUUGUUCAAAAACCCCACUGCAGGCAGCAAGACAAUACAAGCAGUAUAUACAACUUCUUUUAUAAAUCACCCUGAUGUGAGAACAAGUAGUCAAGAAGUUGGGAAGGAGACCUUUUAGCCACAAGGGAUUUCACCUGCAGUGAAUUUAUCAAAGGCCAUGAAAAUUAGGAAUUGCCAUCAAAUCCUAUGUAAAGAGCAAGUCAAGACUGAAUGCAUUAAAAUAUAGCCACACUGCAAGGAGAAAGAUUCUCCAGAAACAGAGAGCAAAUUUUGGGCAACAGCGAAUUUCCUUCCACAGCCAGACUCAGAGCACACCCAGCCCGUGGGUAAAUCUGCCACUAUGACUUUGUUUUUUGACAAGGUUGUUUGUUUUUCAGUCUCAGUGUGGGCCUGCUCAAGCAAGAGCAGUGCUCUGCCAGGACCAGUCUCUUUUGUGUCAGUCUGCUAAUGACACUAGGCUUGAGAGGUUGUGUUUGAUUUUGCUGAAAGCCAUUCACUGGAACUUCCCUUAAAUAUGUAGCAGUUUCAGGAUCUUGCCUUUCCACCACAAAAUUUAAAUCCUGCCAAUAUAUCUCCUAUUAAGUUUUCAAGAAAUGGGUAUGCAAUCAUCACAGCAGCUUUCCAGUGUUUGGUUUUGGUCCUGUGACCACAGCAAACAUUUUGGAAUUCACUUGUGUUUUCUUUUGCUUUGAUAUUAAAAUCUUUUGCAGGAUCUCUUAAAUAUUUUUAUAGCUAUUAUAGCUAUCAUACAAUAUGAUAUUCACUAAAUCUUUGAAUUCUUAAAAUAGAGUUUUUGUUAAAGUGUAGGAUGAACUGAAUUGUAUGCAUCUGAAAAGUCACCACUGCUUGAUGCCACUGACUAGGAUGUAGUCAUCAUAUGAUUAGCGCUAAGAGGAGCUUAAUUUGAGCAUAGGUUUCUCUGUGUAGUCUUGCAAUGUCACACAGAAGCUUACUUGGGAUUUCUGUCAAUUCUUGUCUUUGUUGGACAGCUCUGUUCCACUGAAUGAAUUAAAUGUCGCCAUUUUUUUCUCAGAAAUCUGCAGUAUAACGUUAAAAGCUAGGCCUGGAAUGUUGCAAAAAAUAACUUAAAGAGAACACAGUGAAAUAAAGAUGUAAAUUGUAGUUUGUAAUAAGUUUUGUACUAUUCUGCAGGAAUGAGUGAAGCAAUAAGAGUAUUGUUAACAGAAAAAAGCUUUUUAUUUUAUAAUAUCAUGAACGCUUUCCAUAGUUCAAGCUCUCAUCUCAGUGAAAUAAAUGGUACUUCUAAAUAUAUAUAUAUAUAUUUUUUUUUUUUUAAUAUACCUCUUCGUAUAGUGUAUGAGAUUUUAUUGCUCCUGGUUUGGAUAUAUCAUUAACAGUAUCAUCAGUGUCAUUAAUAUUAUUAUAUUUAUAUUUUAAGGAAUAGUUUACAUAGUCUUAGGUCUCAUCCUCUCUAAGGUUUUUUUCUGAUUCUGCUUCAUAUACAGUCUUCAUUUUCAGUAGGGCCCACAAGUUUGAUUUAUAUCUCAUUUACAUCAGUAGGGCUUGAUUUGCGUAGAGAAUCCUAGUUAAAAUUGUAAAACUGGGUCACACUACAAGUUUGUCUGACCCUCUUUUUAUAACUGUCACUAGUACAGGAGCCAAGCUGGCACAGUAAUAUGGAAGUAUUAUGGCAGACCACACAUACUAACAUGUUUAUUUAUGGAUUACAGCAACAUGGGCCCUAAAAAUCUCUAGAGUCAAAGACUAGAACAGGCUUUAUGGACUUAAUUCCAUGAACUUGACUAAUUCUACUUUGCCUCACUUAUAUCUUCAUUGAAACACAAAUCCCCUGGCUUACCUAAUCACUUUGUGUCUAAUAUUACAAAGGAAUACAGAUUAAAUUGCAUGUCUUUCCAAGAAAAAUAGAGAUGAUACCUGAGCUCUGAGAUAACACUGAGGCUUAAGCUAAUGGUUUGUCUGAAAGAUGUCUUUGAUGGAAAGAGUGAGCUGCUUAAGUAACCAGAAGUAAACAGGAAAACAGUGUUAUAAAUCAAAUGUUCUUGACAAAGAGAUGUUCUCUUUAGAAGUACUAAAGUGAAUGUCUUCAGAAGCAUGAAGAGUUAUGGUGGAAUACUAUCUCAUAAGUAAAGUAUAAGAAUGUUAUAAGAAUGUUUUGCAGGAAUAAAGUUAGUAUUUGGAGGUAUGAUAAGCUAGGGUUAUGAACAGGAUGGCACUACUAAAAAGGGGAAUGCCAUAGAAAGCACAAGCUGGACACAUAAAAUAAUCCUUUCCUUUUAAUUGGUAUUAUUAUUAUUAUAAAAUAAUCCUUUUCUAUUAAUUGGUACUAUGUGAGUUUGGUACCACAGUCAAGAAGGGUUGAAUCCUUGGGAUUCAAAGGGAUGAAUCCUUGGGACAAUCUAGAGGAGAGAAACAACUAUCCAAGAUUUAGAAAGCAUGUUCUACAAACAGAAAAGAAAAAGGAAGAAUUUACUCUUUGCUGAUUGGAGGAAAGCAAUUCACAAAAAUCACAGCAAAGGAGAGUCAGAUUGGGUAUUAUGAACAAUAUUCCUAAAGUAGAACAUAUCACUGGGAAAGAUACCAGCUUUUCUGUGAAUGAAAGUUUUCAGGAGCACACUAGGCACACAUAUCUCAGGACUAAUACAGUUUUAGCUGAUUCUGUUAUGGGAAGAGAAUUUGGGUGGAAGAAUUUUCUGACUUUUUGAUAUUCCUAUGACACACUGAUGUUACAAGGUUCAUUGAACCUACAGUAUCUUGACAAAUCUUUCUCUGUUAUAAAACCAUUAAACCAAAAUUUCUGUUUGAUUGGUUACUACAGAAGUGUUAAGGGACAAUCCAAGAACCCACAUGCUGGGCAAAUAUGCAGUGCUCUUUCACAACCGCACCAAAUAGUUUGCAACUUAAGUGGAUAGCACAAAUGUGGGAGACCGGAGAGCUGUAAAACAUACUAGGAAACACAGAUAAUUUGAAAACAUCCAUGUCUUAAAAGCAGCUGUGUCCAUUUUGAGCACCUGCAAAACAUGAUCAUCACAAUUCUCAGUGUCUUAGAAUUGGCAUCUGUAUGAUACUGAACAGCUGCAAAGGGAAGAGAAAUUAUUUUGUACAGAUGUCUAUUGCUUGAGACCAACUUACUUGUUCUGCAUUCACAUAGCAUCUUGGCUGGUGUUUCUCAUCAUUAUCACAAUAGAAAUCACACAUAAAAUGCAGCACUUUUUGGAAGUGAAUAGCAAUAAAUCAUAAAACAAGUACUUUACCAAGUAAGUCAAAUCACAAGAUUUAGAUUUUUGAGGCUUGUCUGAGCAACCAUCCAUUAACCUCAGGUGGGUGUCUAAAGGUUGUGCAGAAAAGAAAUUGUAGGAAAAAGUCUUUUUGUAAGAUUUCAAGUAAAGUCUUGCUUUACAAUAGCCUUGAAAGAACAAUUCAGUUUUUCUCCACUUUUCAUGGCUUUAUACAAGUCCUUAUUUUUAAAUCAUUCAUCAUUUUCUUGCCUAGUAUAACAAAGAGAAUUGAUUCUUUCAAAAAGGCACAAAUAAUCAUACAAUGUCAGAAAAAAUAUCAGCUAAGCAAAUGGCUGUAAUCUAUCUAAGCAUUCUGCAUUUUUUAAAAUGAGGACCAGGUUCUCAAGUAAUAUAACUUGACAUGGAUGUCAUUUGUAAAAAUGUCAUUUUUAAAACCCAUACCAAACUACACCCACUUAGAAGCUUUCCUUAUGCUUUCCAAAUUCCUAAGAAAGGGGGAAGGGCUUACAUUAGUUCUGAGACUAACUGAUGUGAAAGUUUGGAAAGAAUUAAGGAUGUGGUAUGGUUGGGUUUUUGUAUAGUCAUCAAUAAGAAAUAGGUGAUCAAUUGCCUGGUUGUCAUUUUCUUGCUGUCGGCAAUGCUGUGGCUCACAAAACAUGGCAUGUGACACCUGUCAUGUUGAUCUGCUGAGGCAGUUACAUGAGAAGGAACAAGAAACUAUUAGUAUAGUACAUAUUUGACUUUGGAAAUUUACAGCUGAAAUAUGUGGGUCAUAGCUCACAGUCACUUGAUUUCAUAAUGUUUUACAUAUCCCCAAGAUGUUUGGAAGUCUUAUACAUUCUUCAAAUCAGUAGUUUUAAUGUAUUUGACAGUCUGAAAUCUGCUGUGGAUGGGACAACGUUUAACAUGUGAAAAUACAUAUUCAUUAUACAAAAAUCUAAAGUAUUAUAAUUUUGGUUUAUUCAUGUCUGUGAGAAUAUGGCAGGUGAAAGAUGGCUAGAGGAGGUUAAAUGAUGUUCUUGUAGAUUUGCUAUGAUGUGUAAGAUAAAAGAGACCCAUUAAAUUAUAUAUCUUAUUUAUGGAGAAGGAGAAGUAGCCCCUAUGGAUUGUCAAAUACCAUAUGAAAUAUUGCCAAGCAUAGUAAUGUGUUCUUGCUAAUAGUUCCAUUGUUUGCCUGGGACCAAGGAGUAAAAUAGAUAUUCAAAAGAUAUUUAAUUUGUCCAUAUAUUUUAAGCCAUUAUAUGUGAGUCUUUUGUUGUUGUUUUCUUUCUGUUUUGAUUUUUUUUUUUUAGUUAAAAUAGUUCAUCUUAAUUGCAUUUACCUAGGAUUCAAAUAAUUUUAAAGAUAACAAUAUAUAGAAAAUAAAUUCUUGUCAGACUGCUAGUUUGGAGCCAACACAUUAAAAUAACCUUUGGAUCAUGAAUUAUAUUUAAAAAGCUGUUAAGAUUCGGUAUUUUUUAUUCCUUUAAUGAAAUAUUUAAAACACAGUUAAACUCUCUGUUCUGUUGGAAAACACAGGAUAAAAGCACAGUGCAGCACAACUGGCAUUAUCAGAUGGUCUUUAGUUUGAAGAGAACAAUUGUUUGCCCAGCCACAGAAUAUGCCCCACUUGUCUUUCCUAAAGACAAUGUUACAAUAUCAGGAAAAAAAAUCCCAAACCAAAACAACCAAAGGCAAAACAACCAAAAGCACUGGGGCAUUAUAAAGCAAUCUUGGUUUUGUCAUAAGUGUCCACAAAAGGAGACAUUCAUUUCCAAAACUAUUCUCCAAAUACACUUAAUUAGAAAGAAAAACUCAGGAUAACAGGGAUAAUCAGAAAAAAAAAAUUGUUCACAAGAAAAAGAAUAAAUCAUAACUGCUCAAUGAAGAAAAAUCUCAACCUUUUGUAUUUACUGACCAAACGCUUGCUCCAAUUUGUUUGUAAUUCUGCUGAAGAGUAGUGUUGAACAAUAAAGACUAUGUAUUGCAAAAUAUUGGACUUGCUGGCAUUAAAUAUUUGCUUGUUGUGGGCUUAUUGCUUUCCAAGUGCAUAAUUUUUAAUUCCUCUGCUUCCUACUAAGAUGCCAAAAUCUUUCUGCCAAAUCAAUCUACCAACUCACUUCUCACUUGGAAACACGGGUCAGGAAUGUGAGAGGUAGAUAGACAAUUCUACUGAAUCACCAUAAAUGCUAAGUAUGCUAAAGUUAAGUUCAAACCUGUAAGGUUCACCUUAGAGUUUAUCUGGUCCCGAACAUCUUCUUAAUUAAUGCACACUGACAUUUUGGCAUGACAAGGUCAUACUGGCCUUCACAUUUAUUCUUCUAUGGGCAUAUUGUUACUGUAAACUUACAGUGCUAGAAAAGUGUUAGAUAUAUUUCUAAGUACCUACCUCAAUGUACAAUGAGAUAAAGGACCAGAAAAAGGACAUAGGUUCUGAUUCUAGAUUUAAAAGUUAGUUAAUCCAAGUUUCUGAAAUCAGAAGUACAGAUCUUCAUCCUUAGGGCACUUUGGUUUUCCCCUUUUGCAGGUGAUGGUACUUUGUCUAUAGUGAAAACUGCAGUUUCAAAUGCCUGGUAUGUGUUCAGCUUUGUCAUUCCCACCAGUACAAACAACAGCUGUUAAGGCUGGGUGGCCAAGGUUACACCACAGGAUAAUUUUUCAAUGAUGACUGAAUAAAAUUCAGAUAUUUAUUUUUAAAAAUAAAUAUAUUGAUAGGACAUGUUCUAAAAACCAUAAGUUUCCUUUUCUUCCCUCUCAAAAACUACUGCUGAAACUUUGUGUCUCUGAUAGGCAUACAAGUCUAAAACUGUACAGCUAUUUUGACAACUAACCUAACAUUUAGUUUUAUAAAAUAUUUUAAAAACAUUUCCUGUAGGCACACGGUGGUAAUUAGGAGCGGGGCUGGGGCUGAGCCCCAUCCCCAGUGGGCACAGCUGUGAGCAGCAGGUGAGCAGCACUGACAGCAACGAGCCAUGGAGUGCCCAGGUACUGCCAAACCACCAAAGGAAACAGAGGGCACAGAGGGGCACUGCAUGAAUAUAAGACUAUAAAUGGCUGGCCUAAAGAACAAGAAGGGCAGAUGCUCACAGGCUUCUGAUUGAUGUGAUGUUGCUCUGUAUGGGCAGAUGCCUGAAGCCCUCUGAUGAGGUCUGGUGUUACUCUGCAUGGGUUGAAGCUUUCUGAAAUUGUGUGUUGGCACUCUUGACUCUGGCAUGUGCUGUGGCAAAUGCUGCAACAAUUUCUAUAGUGGGGGAAUUUUUAUUACUUAUAGAAGGUAUACUUAUAAUCUCUUUCUCUCUGUUUGAACCUGUGUGUACUUAAUUAUAAAAUUAUGAUUCCUCAAGUGCGCCCUUGCUUUAGACUGUGCUCCUGUGGUAUGAUUUAGCCUUAAAUUCAGUGUCAGGUGUUAUGAUGAGUUCUUCAGUGCCUUUACAUGAUAGCCUUUCUCUCCUUUUCUGCCCUCACUCUCCUCCUUAGAUUUGUAUUUAACUUCUGCUAUUUUGCUUUGUGUGUGGAAUGUGUACAACCUCUGUGUUUUGGAUUCAGCUUUCAGUUGGAGAUAUUUUUAAUUUCUCUACUGUUCCUUGUCAUGUCUAAAACCUUUACCUUUGAUUACUCUGUGACUUUUCUUUUUUGUAAGAUGCUAGACAGUUCCCAUGGGUCUUUAAUCCCACUUUCUUGCUGCUCUGGAGCAUAGUGGGGGUUUUUACAUCCUCUUUAAGUGAAUGAUUUGCACAAGGGAGGGCAUACAUAGGUAAGUAACUAAAUUCAUAUUGCUGAUCAAGCUGUUCCCCAGUAGAGGGAAAAAAGGAUAAAAGUGAAGAAAAGAAAGGGGGAAAUGUGCUAAGAAUUCCAGUUGGUCUGCAUCACUUUCCUGUAUUUCUUGUUUUUUCUUUACCCUCUAUAAAUCCCUUUUUUCCCUUUUUUUGGAUUCACAAUCCCCCCUCCUCCACCCCCAAAAGCAACAAACCACCUGAGCCAAAAAAUCCCACAAAUCCUAAUACUUCCAACUGUUAUUUAUAUAAAAUCCUUAUCUUUCUUUGUGGAAGUCAGCUUAAAUUGUGAAAAAUCCUUCCUUGAGCCUCACCAAAAGAAAUAACAAAGUUGCUUUGUUUACCUGCACAGUUCCUGCAUUAAAAAAUGUAGUAUUUUCUUCUCCAUCUGCAAUUUUGUAUGCCCAUAUCAAAUGGUGCCACAGUGAAUAGAAUAGCAGAAUUGCCUUUACUUUUGCACCAUCCUGAAACUGCUUUAUACAAGGCCCACAAAAAUAAUUGUAGUAUUAGAAGCCUCAUACAAAUAAUUUUGAUUAUUGUCAGAUGCACUGCUUGCACUAGAGUCACUUCUUGUUUUUCUAAUCUAACUGUAAGCGAAGUAAACACAAUGGUAAAUACAACUGUUGAAACCUUCCAAGCAGAAAUGCUCAGCAAAAAUUUCAGCUGAAACUUUGAAAUAAUUUUGCUGUUCAUGAAAUUGAUUAUUCCCAAAGAAGCAUUAGUUUACUUUAAAAAGAAAAGAUCCAAAAGGCUAAUUUUCACCCACCUGUUUUAAGGCUAUAUGUUAAAGCCUUAAGAUAAUAUUUCUGUGUUUUCCACUACUUGAAUUUUCAUUGCAUGUAUGGCAUCUGCUGGCAACUUGGACCGAAGCUCCAAGACACUAGGGAAGAAUCAAACCUUCUGUAGUGUUUGCAUCCCAGCUCCCAAU
Long non-coding RNA from Taeniopygia guttata (zebra finch), 8416 nucleotides. NCBI's taxonomy places the organism in Eukaryota, Metazoa, Chordata, Aves, Passeriformes, Estrildidae. The record is from Ensembl.